RNAcentral lists this small RNA (561 nucleotides) under Pan troglodytes (chimpanzee). RNAcentral's name for it is "processed transcript". Lineage: Eukaryota; Metazoa; Chordata; Mammalia; Primates; Hominidae. The record is from RNAcentral.
UUUAUGGGGAAAUAGAUAAACUAAAAAAAUUAUUUUGGGAUGAAUUUAAAAAUGUCGCCAAGCAGAACUCUACACUAGAAGAGAAACUGCGGGCACUGCAGUCCCACAGUGUGAUGGAGUCCAACCUGGGAUCACUGCGAGAUGAGGAGUCAGAGGAGUGGAUCCGGCAGGCACGGGAGCUUCAGACCCUGAGAGAGAAGACAGAAAUUCAGAAAACGGAGUGGAAAAGAAAAGUGAAGGAACUGCAUGAAGAGCACAUGGCUGAGAAGAAAGAGAUCCAGUCCUUGUCUCUCAGGAAGGUGGAAGGGAUCCACAAGGUGCCAAAGGCUGUGGACACAGAGGAGGACUCUCCGGAGGAAGAGAUGGAGGACUCCCAGGAUGAACAGCACAAGGUGCUGGCAGCUCUGAGGCGUAACCCCACUUUGCUGAAGCACUUCAGACCAAUCCUGGAGGACACCCUGGAAGAGAAGCUCGAAAGCAUGGGGAUAAGGAAGUCAAAAGCCAGCAGAGCACACUGGUCACCAGAGAGGCCCAGCCAAAGACCAGGACCCUGCAGGUGGC